AAAGCCCCCAUCAUAAGUCGCAUUGUGACCUUCUGGUGGUCAAAGACCCCCACCAAACAGAGACCCUCCUACCAGGCAGGACAUGCCAGGGGUCCAGAGAACCCCUCCCAGGAGCCCAAGGCAAAGGGCAGACCAUUUGAGUCAGGUUAAUUCUUUACUACACAAUCCCAAAGUAUCAUUUCUCUAUCUUUGAUUAUCCCAACAUUUCUAAGAAGACUCUAAAUCCUUGUGGAUUUGAAGGACACUUCCUGGGGCAGACAAUUCCAGCCCAGCAAACAGCUGAUCUUCGGCGUUUCACCUGGCGUGAGGUCUGGAGCUGUGGACGUCCUUGGCACUUCUCGCCGUUCACUGACAGCUUGAUCGUUGGCUUUGUCUUUUUAAAACACUCUACACUUCAGCCAAAUUUAGAGUUGGCCGGACUAACAUUUAGACAAGACCCACAGACAGAUAAAGACUUGGAAAGACCUGCCAGUCAGACAAGCAGCCCACGGGAAGCCUGUGCACAUCCAUGUCAGGUCCGAAGAGACUUCUGUUUCACCAGCCUACCGAGAUUCCAGAGUGCUCAGGGAUACAAACAAAGACGUGAACGGAUUGAAGAGCCAUUGGUGCAGUCGAGGAGAAGGGACGGACAAACCUGUGGACUUGGAUGCCUCUGAGAAGCCUUCAAGGCUCCACAGAGGCUGCCAGCUCUGAGAGAUUUACACUGUGGGAAGGAGGGGGAACUCUUCCAGGCACAGGAAGCAACUGACAAGGCAUGGAAUUGAUUGCAUCAUCAGAAGAGAAUUCCAAAAAUAUUUCAUAUUUUCAAAGGUGAUAUUGGUUCAUUCCACAGAACCAGGAAAUUAUCAAAAAGAUACUUACUUUCAUGCUAUCGAAGUACUGCUGGACUUGCAACAACUAUUGCUAACAUGUUCUUGAAUUAAGCAUCUAUUGUGUAUUUAGAGUAGAAAGUACAGUCAAGUGUUUCACUAACUGCGAGAAAUGUGGAUCCUUCAGCUACAGAGAAAACAGCUUUAAAAUCCUGACGGCCUUAGUGUCUAAAAUCCUCCAUGAUUUGGCCUCAAAUUUCUGUGUCUUCCAGUGAGCAGAAGAGAGCAGAGAUCUUGGAUCGUUUUGAAAGAAUAUCACCUUUUUAAAAAAGAAUAUCAACGUAGUUAUUGCGGCCACUCCAUGGACGCGGGAUGGGCCCCCAUCCAAUAUGUGGUUCCCACAUCAAGACUGAUGACGUCACUCAAUCACCCAAAGUGCAUGAAAAGAUUUGUUACCAGCCUCCCAAGUUGGUCCCUGACGACUCGGGAGAGCAGGAGAGGAGACUUUCGUGGGGUCUUUCUGGCCCUUAGGAGCUGGCUGGGUGAGGACUCCUGCGUGCUUUGAACCUUCCCAAUGGUGCCGAAGAAAGGAGCGUGUGGGCACUCCUACCCAUGUGCCCAGAUGGGGCAGAAGGGAACAGGGAGGAGGAGACUUGAAAGACAUCUGCAGCCAGUUGUCAGAAAUAGAGUCAGGUUUUUUAUUACAGAAACUAUCAUAGGAAAAAUCAGAAUUCGUGGGGAAGAAUGUACACUGUCAUCUUUGUACUGUUGCUAAUGAUCUGUUUCAUGGUGGGUGGGGAUCACUUCCUUCUCAGCAUUUAAGGCCUCAGCGUUGUGACUGGCCUGGGCUCCAACUUACCUUUCUCCCCUUAUUUUCCACUCUUGUCUUUGGAAGCAGCCCUGAGCCACGAGAACCAUGGUCAGCUCUCUGCCGUGACCUCCGCUCCUGCCCAGCUCUGGUCCUGGAAGCCUUUCCCACCUAUUUGCUGUGUAUGAGUCUUAUCCGUCUUCAAGUCCAGUUCCAACGCGUGAAACUUUUUCUGGUUCCACCUCUUGGAAGAGAUUCUUGCUUCUUCUCAAGCCCCUGAGCAUAUUUUGUUUCCUCUUAGACCACUUGUUCUCUAGCCAUGUCUGCAAGGGCCUGGAGACCAGAAUCCAAGAGACCCACUGAUUUUUCUGUCUUCCACACUGUCUUCCUCAGAGGUGUCUGUGCCAGGAGGUUGAGAACCUCAUUUCACACACUGUUAUUCCCUUAACACUUGGAGCAGUGCCUGGCACAGAACUGGUGCUCACUGUAUACCAUUCUGUAAAUAAAUAAUAGAUGAAUAUGUGUUGAAUAAAUGAAAGCUAAAUUCAUAGAGGCUGUCUGAUUCAAACUUGUAUUAUAUCCUUAAAUUGCUUCUUAGGCAUUGCUUAAAUAAAAGGGAAAUGCACGUUUUCUUGAGAGUUUGGUGUCUCAAGGUAGAGUUGGCUGUUGAGCUAAUUUAAAGGGGAAAUCAGUACUAGGCUGGGCAUUCACAACUGGGUGUCUCUGAUACGGUCCUGGGACAGAGAAUCUAGCAUUUUCAGAGGCUUCUCAGGACUGACUGUGGCUGACCCAGGGAGUAUUGCACAGCCGGCGGACCGUCGUGAAGGUGCUGGACAAGCACAGACAUUGCCCUGCCUCUGGUUUUCAGAACCUGUGCCAGUUCUGUUCUUCUUUUUAUCACAGCUGCAGACAAAAUUGGCAGAUGCUGAGAGCUGUGCACACAUGGUCCUGGUCCGUGCCCACAUGCGCAGCGUUUAUUGCAGGCCAACCCAGGAGAGGAUACCAGACACGAGAAGGCACAAGCUGAAGGCUGUCUGCAGAAGCUUAUGGUACCAGAGCCCACGUACGUGAUCCCCAGAUAAGGGCGUCAAAGUCCAGCACCAAAAACUCCAGAUUUCAACUGAUGGUUGUUAAAAAAAGUCUCCUUACCUUUCUCUGUGUCUCUUCAUGUUUGAGAACUUGCCUGGCCUUCACUCUCAAGUUACAGAUGCCACAGAGGAAAGAGCAAAGGGAGAAGAGAAGGUCCCCUAUUCUAGAAAGGGGUGAUCAAUGAUCAGUGGGAUCAGAGGACUGACCACAAAGCUGAUUACUAAGAGCCGUGGGGAGACUCACUUUCCCCUUCUUGAAUCUGCACUGGUUUUGCGAUUUGCUUUGAUGGAAGUGACAUUGUAUGCAUUCAGAGCCCAGGCCUCAAAGGUCUUGCGGGAUCUGCCUGUGCCCUCUUGGAUGCUGCCCUGAAAUUCCCACAGAGGAGCCAGUCUAGCUUACAGGAAGGUGGGAGGCCACAUGGAGAAGAACCAAGGCUCCUGAGCCAGGAGUCAGCACCCACUGCCAACGUGAGGGAGGCAUCUGGGACCUUCCAUUUCUGCCGAACCACCGAGUGCAGUCGUGUGGGGAGCGCAGGAGAAACCAGCAGAGGAGCAGCCUGCCAGCUCAAGGAUCCGGGAAAAACAGUAAACCACAUUGUUCUUGGCCACUAAGCUCUGGGGUGAUUUGUCACAGGGCUGAAAAUAGCCGAUGCACAGCCUGCUUGUGAGUUUCACAUUUACUUACUCGACAUGGCAAGUCAAUUAUUUAUUUACACUUUCCAACUUCUCCGGUUUUUCAAAACAAUAAAAU
RNAcentral lists this long non-coding RNA (3456 nucleotides) under Equus caballus (horse). RNAcentral's name for it is "lncRNA (ENSECAG00000036702.3)". The record is from RNAcentral. Lineage: Eukaryota; Metazoa; Chordata; Mammalia; Perissodactyla; Equidae.